This 415-nucleotide ribosomal RNA is filed under the name uncultured eukaryote. RNAcentral describes it as "bacterial SSU rRNA". It matches the Rfam family "Eukaryotic small subunit ribosomal RNA", at positions 45 to 368 of the family's 1831-position model. The record is from RNAcentral.
AGUAGUGAUACGCUGCGGACGAAAGAUAAUAAGCCAUGCAUAUGUCAGUAUAAGCGUUUAACAUCGUGAGACUGUGAACGGCUCAUUAGGCUCAGUUAUAGUUUAUUUGAUAAUGGUGCCCUUGAAAUUAUUGAGGUGACAAACUAAUUGGAUAACCGUAGUAAUUCUAGAGCUAAUACAUGCAUAGAACUGUCCUGACUUUUGCGGAAGGGAUGUAUUUAUUAGAAAAGAAAGUCGACAUCAAUUCACGAACGUGAAUGAUAAUAACUUGUAUAAUUGUGUCAGUAAAAUGGCGCAGUUAUCGAUGCGAACCGAAGCUCGGUUGAAAUAAACCGUCGGUGAGUCAUUCAAAUUUCUGAUCUAUCAAACUUGAAUGUAGGGUAGCGGCCUACAUUGGUGGUGACGGAUACGGAGG